Molecule: transfer RNA, 78 nt
Filed under: bovine gut metagenome
Rfam family: tRNA
About the family: Transfer RNA (tRNA) molecules are approximately 80 nucleotides in length.
Source: RNAcentral
CGGUGGCGGAACGGUAGACGCAGCGGACUUAAAAUCCGAUGCCUGCAAAAAGGCGUGCGGGUUCGAAUCCCGCUCGGG